RNAcentral lists this ribosomal RNA (1321 nucleotides) under uncultured bacterium. RNAcentral's name for it is "bacterial SSU rRNA". It matches the Rfam family "Bacterial small subunit ribosomal RNA", at positions 70 to 1394 of the family's 1533-position model. The record is from RNAcentral.
CUUAGCGUUGCUAAGGCCGAUGGCGACCGGCGCACGGGUGAGUAACACGUAUCCAACCUGCCGUCUACUCUUGGACAGCCUUCUGAAAGGAAGAUUAAUACAAGAUGGCAUCAUGAGUCCGCAUGUUCACAUGAUUAAAGGUAUUCCGGUAGACGAUGGGGAUGCGUUCCAUUAGAUAGUAGGCGGGGUAACGGCCCACCUAGUCUUCGAUGGAUAGGGGUUCUGAGAGGAAGGUCCCCCACAUUGGAACUGAGACACGGUCCAAACUCCUACGGGAGGCAGCAGUGAGGAAUAUUGGUCAAUGGGCGAGAGCCUGAACCAGCCAAGUAGCGUGAAGGAUGACUGCCCUAUGGGUUGUAAACUUCUUUUAUAAAGGAAUAAAGUCGGGUAUGGAUACCCGUUUGCAUGUACUUUAUGAAUAAGGAUGGCUAACUCCGUGCCAGCAGCCGCGGUAAUACGGAGGAUCCGAGCGUUAUCCGGAUUUAUUGCGUUUAAAGGGAGCGUAGAUGGAUGUUUAAGUCAGUUGUGAAAGUUUGCGGCUCACCCGUAAAAAUUGCAGUUGAUACUGGAUAUCUUGAGUGCAGUGAGCAAGGCCGGAAUUCGUGGUGUAGCGGUGAAAUGCUUAGAUAUCACGAAGAACUCCGAUUGCGAAGGCAGCCUGCUAAGCUGCCACUGACAUUGAGGCUCGAAAGUGUGGGUAUCAAACAGGAUUAGAUACCCUGGUAGUCCACACGGUAAACGAUGAAUACUCGCUGUUUGCGAUAUACUGCAAGCGGCCAAGCGAAAGCGUUAAGUAUUCCACCUGGGGAGUACGCCGGCAACGGUGAAACUCAAAGGAAUUGACGGGGGCCCGCACAAGCGGAGGAACAUGUGGUUUAAUUCGAUGAUACGCGAGGAACCUUACCCGGGCUUAAAUUGCAGAUGAAUUACGGUGAAAGCCGUAAGCCGCAAGGCAUCUGUGAAGGUGCUGCAUGGUUGUCGUCAGCUCGUGCCGUGAGGUGUCGGCUUAAGUGCCAUAACGAGCGCAACCCUUGUUGUCAGUUACUAACAGGUUCCGCUGAGGACUCUGACAAGACUGCCAUCGUAAGAUGUGAGGAAGGUGGGGAUGACGUCAAAUCAGCACGGCCCUUACGUCCGGGGCUACACACGUGUUACAAUGGGGGGUACAGAGGGCCGCUACCACGCGAGUGGAUGCCAAUCCCAAAAACCUCUCUCAGUUCGGACUGGAGUCUGCAACCCGACUCCACGAAGCUGGAUUCGCUAGUAAUCGCGCAUCAGCCACGGCGCGGUGAAUACGUUCCCGGGCCUUGUACACACCGCC